UACGUAGGGUGCGAGCGUUAAUCGGAAUUACUGGGCGUAAAGAGCGCGCAGGCGGUCGAUCAAGUCGAGUGUGAAAGCCCCCGGCUCAACUGGGGAGGGUCAUUCGAUACUGAUCGACUCGAAGGCAGGAGAGGGUAGUGGAAUUCCCGGUGUAGUGGUGAAAUGCGUAGAUAUCGGGAGGAACACCAGUGGCGAAGGCGACUACCUGGCCUGUUCUUGACGCUGAGGCGCGAAAGCUAGGGGAGCAAACGGGG
RNAcentral lists this ribosomal RNA (254 nucleotides) under uncultured bacterium. RNAcentral describes it as "partial 16S ribosomal RNA". It matches the Rfam family "Bacterial small subunit ribosomal RNA", at positions 524 to 777 of the family's 1533-position model. The record is from RNAcentral.